AUGGAAGAUUUCUCACCGAGGACUCUGCUCGAUAGUAUCUCGCACCUUACUGCCUUGACUUCUGAUGGCUCUACUGCAAGGCCCAAGCCUAUUCAGAAGUACUGCCAAAAUGUAUGCGAUAUAUCAAGCAUCGUGAGCCCUCUCAUAGAAGAUAUAUGCAAGUCUCCUGUAGAGCAACUCAAUGAUGUGUUAAGGGAGCUUGACACUGCUAUAAAUGAAGCUUCAGGGCUUAUUGGGAACUGGCACCAAACGACCAGCAAAAUAUACUUUGUUUGGCAAAUUGAAUCAGUGAUCUCGGAUAUUCAGGGAUGCUCCCUUCAAUUGUGCCAGCUUGCUAAUUCUUUAUUACCUUCUCUGACUGGAUGUGCUUGCAUUUGUAUUCAGAAACUCCAGGACAUCAAUUAUGAGCACAUGUUUGAUUUGGCGAAGGAGGUUGCAACGAAGUUAAAUGGGAAUGAUACACAAAGUCCCGAGAAUCUGUCGAUAGUAUCAAGUUCAUUAAGUCUGUCAACUAACCUUGAAUUAUACAUGGAAGCUGUAUCCCUCGAGAAUCUGAGAACAAGGGCAAUGCGAAGUGAGAACCGUAAAGAACUCGAGCUUGCUGAGGAGAUGAUUCCAAUGGUCAACUAUAUGCACGAGCGCCUUCUCAGGGAAACACAGUUGCUUAACAUCAACGGGGUACCCAUUCCUGCUGAUUUCUGUUGCCCACUUUCCCUGGAGCUGAUGUCUGAUCCUGUUAUUUUAGCAUCUGGUCAGACCUAUGAGCGGGUUUAUAUCAAGUUGUGGCUCGAUGAAGGUUUUACUAUCUGCCCGAAGACACGCCAAAGACUUGCUCAUUCUAAUUUAAUUCCUAACUAUACUGUGAAAGCUUUGAUAUCCAACUGGUGUGAGUCACAUGAUAUUAAGCUACCUGAUCCUGUGAAAUCCUUGAAGUUGAACUUUCCGUCAGCAGCCUCCUCCCUUCAAGAUUUGAGCGCCACAGGCAACAGCCCUCUACAUCCUAGUGCUGGUAGGGGUAAUAUUCCUGGGUCACCAGAAGCUGACCUGUAUAUGAAAAGCCUGAAUAGAGCAUCUCCUUCCCACAGUGCGGUCCACCAGAACUCUGAUGCACUUGUGAAUCGUCCUGGCCAUGAGGCAUCCACCAAUCAGUCUUCAGAUUAUGCAAAUGGCUCUGCACCAGAUAUUUCAAGGCUAUCUCUUGCGAGUUCUGAAGCAAGAGAAUCUAGUGUGGAAGAAAGACAUGCUGGUUCCAAUGUACAAACCUCAGAACAAUCGACAGAUGAAGCAUUUCAAGCAUCUCUUUUGGACGGUGAUUCACAGGACCAUGUAGGCAGUUCUUCUGUUAAUGGGAGUCUUCCUAAUAGCGGUCAGCUUGAUGGGGAAUGUGACGACGCCAAUGGGAUGGUACGGAUUCCAGGUGAUAGGACAAAUUACAGUAGCGAUGCAUCUGGAGAAGUUGCUGACGGUGGGCCUUCUGUCUCUUCCGCCCCUCAAAGGGAAAAUGUAAUGCUCCCAAGAUUGGGUGAUCUCCGCAUGAGAGGGCAAUUUGUUCGGCGGCAACCAUCUGACAGGGGAUUCCCCAGAAUAACAUCUCCCUCGUCCAUGGAUGCCCGAGGUGAUCUUUCUGCCAUCGAGAAUCAGGUACGCAAGCUAAUUGAUGAUUUGAGAAGCGAUUCCAUAGAAGCUCAAAGAUCAGCAACAUCAGAGAUCCGCCUUCUAGCUAAGCACAACAUGGAGAACAGGAUUGUCAUUGCAAAUUGUGGGGCUAUAAACUUGCUGGUUGGUCUCCUUCAUUCAACAGACGCCAAAAUCCAAGAAAAUGCAGUGACGGCCCUCCUCAAUUUGUCAAUCAAUGACAACAAUAAGAUUGCCAUUGCGAGUGAAGAUGCUGUUGAUCCUCUCAUCCAUGUCCUGGAAACAGGGAACCCUGAAGCUAAAGAGAAUUCAGCGGCUACUCUGUUCAGUCUCUCGGUUAUCGAAGAGAACAAGGUGAGGAUUGGACGGUCUGGUGCCGUCAAACCUCUUGUGGACUUGCUGGGAAACGGGACGCCGCGAGGGAAGAAAGAUGCAGCCACCGCAUUGUUCAAUCUAUCUAUACUCCAUGAGAACAAGGGUCGCAUUGUGCAAGCUGAUGCUGUGAAGUACCUAGUCGAGCUUAUGGAUCCUGCUGCUGGUAUGGUCGACAAAGCCGUAGCCGUCUUGGCAAACCUUGCCACAAUACCAGAAGGGAGGACCGCAAUCGGGCAGGCCCGUGGUAUCCCAGCCCUCGUCGAAGUCGUUGAGCUGGGUUCGGCACGGGGGAAAGAAAAUGCUGCCGCGGCGUUGCUUCAGCUAUGCACAAACAGCAAUAGGUUCUGCAGCAUAGUUCUCCAAGAGGGCGCCGUGCCUCCUCUAGUCGCGCUGUCACAGUCGGGAACACCUCGGGCAAGAGAAAAGGCGCAAGCUCUUCUCAGCUAUUUCCGCAGCCAAAGACAUGGCAACUCGGCGAGGAGAUGA
This 2496-nucleotide ribosomal RNA is filed under the name Triticum aestivum (bread wheat). RNAcentral describes it as "partial small subunit ribosomal RNA". The record is from RNAcentral. Lineage: Eukaryota; Viridiplantae; Streptophyta; Magnoliopsida; Poales; Poaceae.